GAUGAACGCUGGCGGCGUGCCUAACACAUGCAAGUCGAACGAAGCUACAUUUUACGAUCCCUUCGGGGUGACGAAUUGUAGACUGAGUGGCGGACGGGUGAGUAACGCGUGGGCAACCUGCCCUAUACCGGGGGAUAGCAGCUGGAAACGGCUGAUAAUACCGCAUAAGCGCACAGAGAGACAUCUCUUAGUGUGAAAAACUCCGGUGGUAUAGGAGGGACCCGCGUCUGAUUAGCCAGUUGGUGAGGUAAAGGCCCACCAAAGCGAAGAUCAGUAGCCGACCUGUGAGGGUGACCGGCCACAUUGGGACUGAGACACGGCCCAAACUCCUACGGGAGGCAGCAGUGGGGAAUAUUGCACAAUGGGCGAAAGCCUGAUGCAGCGACGCCGCGUGAGUGAUGAAGUAUUUCGGUAUGUAAAGCUCUAUCAGCAGGGAAGAAAAUGACGGUACCUGACUAAGAAGCUCCGGCUAAAUACGUGCCAGCAGCCGCGGUAA
RNAcentral lists this ribosomal RNA (496 nucleotides) under uncultured bacterium. RNAcentral describes it as "partial 16S ribosomal RNA". It matches the Rfam family "Bacterial small subunit ribosomal RNA", at positions 28 to 523 of the family's 1533-position model. The record is from RNAcentral.